Molecule: long non-coding RNA, 2160 nt
Filed under: Brassica rapa (field mustard)
Lineage: Eukaryota; Viridiplantae; Streptophyta; Magnoliopsida; Brassicales; Brassicaceae
Description: long non-coding RNA (BRAP_LNC008197)
Source: RNAcentral
CAAGACGUCGCGCCAUCUUCGACUCUUCUGGAGCGGGUGUCGCAUGUCGCUCCCGUACCCCGCUCUGGUGCUUUGCUCGCCUAAACAGCAUUUCCCACUCCCUUUUUGAUCCCAAAUGCUUCCAAGUACCUCUAAGAACUCCAAUGGAAACUCCAAAACCUGAUAAAGACUUAUGCAAUGCAAAAGGAGACUAAAACGCGUGAUUCCUAAUCUAGAUGAUCAAAACAUGCAAGAAAUAGAAGGUUAAAACAAUGUAAUUAUGCAAGAUAUCAACUCCCCCAAACUUGUUCUUUACUUGUCCUCAAGUGGCUUUGUAAGAAUUUAUAAGGGAGAAAGGUUUGAAGGUGGGAACUCAUAGCCAAAAGUAACACUUCCUAGCACUCAACUUAACAUCCUAAAGAAACAUAGCAAAUAGCAUGAGCAUCUUCCUUAUUAUACUCUAGCUUCUCUAGGCCUAUCCAUACUCUUUUUCCUCUACUCAAGUUGCAAUACUCUUUACCAACAAGUCCCUUCAAUCAGCUCUCACAUUGAUUCACACACACACACACUAGGUGAAGUCUCACAAAUGGGCACAUGAUCUCAAUCAUUUGGCUAGGUAAGCAAUAGUCUAAUAUGAAUGAAGAGAUGGGUUCAAAUGUUUUCAUUUAAGGGUGGUUAUCACUCAAAACAAGGAGUUUGAUCAUUAUGCAAAAUUUAUCUAAGAUUAGAAGCAACUCAUGCAUACAUAGAUUCAUUCUCAUCAUUCUACCCCUUUUGUUAUAAGUGAUCACAAGUCCUACCCCUCUUUAUCAUUAUCUCAAAAUCAAUCUAAACCCCUCACAUCACUCAUCCAAUGUACAACUCUCUUUUUCAUUUGACCCACUCACUAGGGAUUUUAAUCCACUUUCCACAAGCUCUAACUCUCUUUUUUUUUUUUUCAUUUCCUUCCCCAACUUCUUUUUGAUAUUUUUUUUUUUAUUAGGGGGAAGGUUCUUUGUUACAUAAUCAAGAGCUUCUUAUUAUUAUCUUUUUUUUUAUAUAUAUCCCUAGGAGUUCUCUUUUCAUAUCUCUGAUCUUUCUCACUCUCCAAACCCAAGAUAUUGAAAUUUAAAACACACAAACCCCUCUCACCAUCCCCAAAUGCUAACUCAUUGUGCUAGCAAGAGAUGAGAAUAAACCUAUGUCGCCUCCAAUACUCUCAAGAUUUUGCACAUGACAAGCUAUCAAAAGAAGCCUCACUCAUGCAAUUCAAUGUUUGGUCUCAAGGAAUGGUUAGGGUUUUAAGGUAAGGAGUGCCAUUUGGGUUAACAAAGAUAGGUAUGAAGGAAUAAGAUAACCCAAAUGUGUAUGAGAUCCAUGAUCAAGUAUGCAAAUGCCCAUAUGCAAGAGAGAUUAAGUUCAUUCAAGCCAAGUUUAGAUUGGAGCUGAUCUUAAGAACAAUGCUAACAUCAAGCAAGCAAACAAGUUUCAAGAAGAGUUUUCAAGGCUCAAAGCGUGCAAGGUUUUCAAGAGAUGCUUAAGCUACUUGAUAUGUUUAACUAGGGUGUCAUUUUGAGUUCUAGACAAGGGUUCUUUGCAAGGCAUUUUAAAUCAUUGUUUCCAAUGCAAGUGAAUACAACCUAUAUGCUCUAGAGUCAAUCUUAAAAGUGCAAGUGAUGCAACUACAUGUUUCUUUUUGUGUUUUUCAAAUUUUUAAUUUUUUUGGUUUUUCUAUGCAUAUAUAUAUGUACAAAGCAAUGCAUGAGACUCAAAUCAUCAAAGAAAACAUAUUAAAUACUUGAUGCCUCCCCCAAACUUAGUUCACACAGUCUCUGUGUUAGGAAGUUGGAGGAGAUACCGAAAACAAUUGCAAAGAAAAACUGGUAUAUACAAUGGAAAGGUAGUGGAGUACCUGUCUAAGCGUUCGGGAAGAAACCCGAGUCCCCAUAUCCGGAGUCAUCGGGGAAGGUAGUGUAGUAUUCCUGGGGCUCGCUGGCAACUUCCUCGUUGUCGGUUUCAGCAUCGGUUGAGGCAAGGGAAGGAGACUUAUUCCCGGAGUUAGAUUUAUGAGCUUGUGGGUUUCGUGCCAGACGCAAGAGCUGGCGGGCAGUAACGGGAGGUCCAAGGUCCAAAGAAGGGUUGGCGACAGGGUCAUAGGGCUGGGGUUCAGGAACUGAGGUAUCUCUAGUGACAAAGUCUUCA